MicroRNA precursor from Chrysolophus pictus (golden pheasant), 58 nucleotides. NCBI's taxonomy places the organism in Eukaryota, Metazoa, Chordata, Aves, Galliformes, Phasianidae. The record is from Ensembl.
GCCCCCAUCGAUUUGCUCUACGAACUGAUGAAGCAGAAGGGCAAACCCGAUGGGCACC